AUCUGAUGGUGAGGACAGCUGGAACACAACUUCUUGAAUCUCUCCCAGUACUCAUGUAGAGUCUCACCACUUAUCUGCCUUAUACCACAAAUUUCUUUCCUUAUGGAU
Molecule: small nucleolar RNA, 108 nt
Organism: Diospyros lotus (date-plum)
Lineage: Eukaryota; Viridiplantae; Streptophyta; Magnoliopsida; Ericales; Ebenaceae
Source: RefSeq, a predicted model, not a curated record